Ictidomys tridecemlineatus (thirteen-lined ground squirrel) is the source of this 1031-nucleotide non-coding RNA. The record is from RefSeq and is a predicted model, not a curated record. NCBI's taxonomy places the organism in Eukaryota, Metazoa, Chordata, Mammalia, Rodentia, Sciuridae.
UUAGAGGUAUUAAGAGUUAUCUCUUAACUCUUUCUGUGGCUUAGGAGGCAACUGUCUUAAGGUGGACCAGCUGACUUCCUGAGACACUGUCCACUGAGAGCUUUGUGAUCAGCAGGCGAUUCCCUGUAUCAAUUAAAGGAUGUCCUUCCUACGCAGCUCAAGAUGGCGCUUGAACUCUGUUUUUUACCUCUGGGAUCGUUCGUGUUCUAAAGAACACCCUAACAUAGCAGAGGAAAGUGUUUUAUUCCAUGUGGGAAGGAGGAGCGGGGAGCAGCUGGCGGAUCUCCGAGUGGAGAAGGAUUCUGAGGCCACAUUCUUCUUUAGUGGAAGCAGUUCACAGGUGAGCAGUCCAGAGCUGGUGAGGAGGCUCCAGGAUCUUCAGAAAGCACCAGCUCCAUGAACUGACUCACUGAACUUAAACAGAAUCUGUACCAUCAACUCAAAGGAACGUGGUUGCCUUGUUGGACGAUUUCCCCCAAACUUUCUUUACUCAGCUGUAGACAUGUGACUGAAUUUGGUCAAGGGUUUAAGGGCAGCAAUGAGGCAUUCAACGUCCGGAUUAUGAUCACAUGGGCAGAGCUGCUUCUCCUCCCACCUCCAUGGCUGGGAGAUGACAGUAACUCCAACCACGUCCAAGUCCAACCCAGAGACAGAAGCCCCUCGCUUAGGACGGCAGUAACUGUGGACUUUCCAUUACCAGACUGUUUUGUAAGAGAAAAAUAAAACCUCCACCUUAUUUAAGUUACUGUGCUUUAGGGACUCUCUCUCUCUCUCUCUCUCUCUCUCUCUCUCUCUCUCUCUCUCGCUGAUGUUAAAAAUUACGUUAAAUCAAGAGGGUAAGCAAAUACAAUACAGUGUGCUCCAUGCUACAGCAAUGGGAGCAUAAAAGCAGAGCCUAAUCUGAUCAAGAUAUUAAGGACUGAAGAUAAAAACAGGACAUGAUUUAAAUUACCUAUAAUUCACCCCAAAACCACAGUGAUAGUCAAUGUUUCUCAUGGAAUUUUUUGGUUUUUUUUGUACUGGGGAUUGAA